GAGCUUAUUUUCUAAUAUGCGUAAGCAGUGCAUGCUUAGAUGAGAAUUACAAGACAUGCUCAUUUUGAUUUAGGUUUUUGGCUCAAGCUAUAUGAUCAAUCUUAUGCAAUCAUAAUAUUUCUAAUUUAGGUUUUUGUCUUUUUAAUUUUUACAUAAUGUAUUUAACAGUUGCUAAGUCUACAGCUGCACACAAAGCAGGCCUAGAAAAAGGUUUGUUACCAGGGUGGGAUAUGGAUGCUUACUUCUACAGUGAGGGUGAGAAUGGUGAAACGAGUGAAGGUACUAGCAAGCAUCAUGUUCCCCAUGUAUUGCUGUUUAUGUGAGACUGUAUUUGACAACUGGCCUGAUUGCUGCCCUUCCAAGAUUCUUCAGGAGUCUACAAUUGUUGUUUCUCAACAUGAUGAUCAAAAAGAUCCCCCUGCCACCGCCGACGACAAGUUUUCCUAAUUCUAAAUCUGUUUCCUGUAUGAAUGGUGUGCGAGGAUUCAUUAAACGAGUGUAUCUUUGGCUCUUUGCUAUGUAAAAACAAUUCCCUUUGAUCUACAUAAUUUGAAGCUGAAGGAGAACAUGAACUCACUUCUUCAGUUUGUUUAACGUUUUGUUACUAAACAUUCAUACGCGCCGGUUUUGAUGAGUUUAUCGAGCUUAAUCGGCACUUAUGUCAGCACUUAAGUCAUUUGGUCUCAUAGAAUAUAGGGACAAAAACCCCAGACAAUUGAAGCUGUCCAUCAGAAGAACAGUGUGAUUCUAGCGUUCUAUUCAAAGUGAUGUGGGGGACAAAAACAAAUUAAGAACAUUACUUCCUCUUAAAAACCAAGGGGCCGCUUCUGUUGCGGACCUCUGAAUUGCGGACCAUUUACCGACUUUCAAAACGUAUCCGUUGGAUUACAUGAGCGGCCUACAAGUUGAUGAAUACAACUCCUUCCCGUGUGGUCACAUGCAUCGGAACACAAUCCUCCCCCUCUCUCUCUCUUCAGCGCAUCAGAGCUCCCUUUGAUCUACAUAAUUUGAAGAUGAAGGAGAACAUGAACUCACUUCUUCAGUUUGUUUAACGUUUUGUUACUAAACAUUCAUACCGCGGGUUCUGAUGAGUUUAUCGAGUUUAAUCGGCACUUAUGUCAGCACUUAAGUCAUUUGGUCUCACAGAACAUAGGGACAAAAACCAGUGUGAUUCUAGCGUUCUAUUCAAAGUGAUGUGGGGGACAAGAACAAAUUAAGAACAUUACUUCCUCUUAAAAACCAAGGGGCCGCUUCUGUUGCGGACCUCUGAAUUGCGGACCAUUUACGGACUUUCAAAACAUGUCCGUUGGAUUACAUGAGCGGCCUACAAGUUGAUGAGUACAACUCCUUCCCGUGUGGUCACAUGCAUCGGAACACAAUCCUCCCCCUCUCUCUCUCUUCAGCGCAUUAGAGCUCCCAACCCAAACACCACCAAAAUCCCAAAAUGACCGAUCACCACCACCACCACCGCCGCCGCCGCCCCCACCGUCUCUCUCUCCCUCAACGCCUCACCACCCCCACCACCUUCGCCUCCACCACUCCCACCACUUCCCGCCAAUACCCACUUUACCCUUUCACCCCCUCCUCCGCCACUCCCUCC
Molecule: long non-coding RNA, 1600 nt
Filed under: Fragaria vesca (wild strawberry)
Lineage: Eukaryota; Viridiplantae; Streptophyta; Magnoliopsida; Rosales; Rosaceae
Description: long non-coding RNA (FVES_LNC002608)
Source: RNAcentral